Molecule: long non-coding RNA, 1466 nt
Organism: Gavialis gangeticus (Gharial)
Lineage: Eukaryota; Metazoa; Chordata; Crocodylia; Gavialidae
Exons: 3
Source: RefSeq, a predicted model, not a curated record
UAUCCUACUGUAAUUACCACUGAUGCCAACAAGCUAUGGGGGUACCAAAAACUUCUUGGAGCUGUUAGAAACAAGUUAUAUGGUGUCAUGGAAAAAUGUUGGCACAAAUGGAUAUAUCUGUGUUUAAAGUAAUCCAGGGUAUACCAGAUGCGUUACAAUAGAAAGAAACAUGACUCUUGGUCUGAACAACUUCCACGCUAGCUCUGAACGCGAUGCAGCAGAAGUGUUAAGAGACACAGACAGCUGAGAUCCACUGAGGAGAGAAUUUGUGAACUAAAACCUCUUCCAUCAAGGGACACUGGAAUGGUAUUUACCUCUGUAUAGCUCAGAAAUGUAUGUCUGGACAUUGGUGCAUUAAGCCAGAAGCUUAUUCUGCUACCAGUCUGCCCCUAGCGUUUCAUAUUCACCGUGGUAGCUCAGCUUGCCGCAAGAGGUCCCCACAAGCCUUAUCUUGCUUCUCGUGCACCUUUGCCUAGAGCUCUGUAUCCCCAGCCAGGCUUCCUUUCCCAGCCUGAGAGCUGAUUCUGGGAAGGAUGAUGCAGAAACUGCAAUGCAGGGAUGUGUUUUGAAAAAGAAGACAGUCCUCCGGGUUUCGGAUCUCAAGCUUUUAAGCUCUGCCAGAGUUUUGGGGCCAGCAUCACUUUAGCUGGAUGAUGGCUUUAAUGUGAUUGAUCUGCAGUACUGGCUCUUAAUUUAAGAUGCAGAAUAUUGACACAUAAAAUAAGCAGCUCGACAGGAGGGGAAAACUACUGAGGAUCUUAAUGCUGAAGCAUCGGAGACCUAAAACUUUUAGAAGGAAGGAAAGCCGUGCUUGUGAACAUUUGCUACUUACUAUUUUGGCACCAAACAUGGGGGUGCUGUGAGAGGAGGAGGAGAAGGCACUUGCAACCAUUACUGCUGACCUAUAGCACUUUUAAUUUGAUGAUCUAAAAGUGCAUUCAAGUUCUCAUGCUUCACGGUGGCUCUGAGAAGGAUGGUGUUAUCCCCUCUUCCCAGUUGAGGAAACAGAGCCAAAAUCAGGUUAAUAAGUAACAUGUUUUCUGCCCAGCCACGUAACAAAUCAAUUCCAAAUAGAACCCAGAAGUCCUAAUGAAAAUGAGGACGUUAUGUAGACAAAGUCCUCCAGAUUUUAAACUCCUGGUUUUAAUUCAAAAGCAUUAUUAAUCAGUUAGAAAACAAUAAUGUUCUUUUAUAAAUCAUUCUUUUUCUCCCUUCUGUGUCUGCAGCAGUGGUGAAGUAGGAAAGAACAUCUCCAGAUAGGCUUGGCUGGCAUUGGGUAGUGACGCUUUAUCAAUAUAGUAAAUAUCUUUUUGAUCCAGGUUGAAUCUGAUAUUAGCCACUAGCUAUGCAUGGUUCAGGAUGAUUCAAAAUACAAAAAAAAAGGGUAGCAAUGCAUGUAGGCCUUCAAGGAUGUUUGCAAACAGUGGGAAGUAAAAUAUCAUUAACCUGUUAAACUGAAAGGGAUG